RNAcentral lists this ribosomal RNA (465 nucleotides) under uncultured bacterium. RNAcentral's name for it is "partial 16S ribosomal RNA". It matches the Rfam family "Bacterial small subunit ribosomal RNA", at positions 339 to 795 of the family's 1533-position model. The record is from RNAcentral.
CUACGGGUUGCUGCAGUGGGGAAUAUUGGACAAUGGGGGAAACCCUGAUCCAGCAAUGCCGCGUGUGUGAAGAAGGCCUGCGGGUUGUAAAGCACUUUCGGUUGGGAGGACUGCUUCUAGCACUAAUAUUGUUGGAAGUUGACGUUACCUUCAGAAGAAGCACCGGCUAACUCCGUGCCAGCAGCCGCGGUAAUACGGAGGGUGCAUGCGUUAAUCGGAAUUACUGGGCGUAAAGCGCGCGUAGGCGGCUAGAUCAGUCGGGUGUGAAAGCCCCGGGCUUAACCUGGGAACUGCAUCCGAUACUGGCAAGCUUGAGUACAGGAGAGGAGGGUGGAAUUCCACAUGUAGCGGUGAAAUGCGUAGAUAUGUGGAGGAACACCAAUGGCGAAGGCAGCUCUCUGGCCUGAUACUGACGCUGAGGUGCGAAAGCGUGGGGAGCAAACAGGAUUAGAUACCCGGGUAGUC